RNAcentral lists this ribosomal RNA (433 nucleotides) under uncultured bacterium. RNAcentral describes it as "partial 16S ribosomal RNA". It matches the Rfam family "Bacterial small subunit ribosomal RNA", at positions 29 to 507 of the family's 1533-position model. The record is from RNAcentral.
AACGAACGCUGGCGGCAGGCCUAACACAUGCAAGUCGAGCGAGGACUUCGGUCCUAGCGGCGGACGGGUGAGUAACGCGUGGGAACGUGCCCUUUGCUUCGGAAUAGCCCUGGGAAACUGGGAGUAAUACCGGAUGAGCCCUUUGGGGGAAAGAUUUAUCGGCGAAGGAUCGGCCCGCGUUGGAUUAGGUAGUUGGUGGGGUAAUGGCCUACCAAGCCGACGAUCCAUAGCUGGUUUGAGAGGAUGAUCAGCCACACUGGGACUGAGACACGGCCCAGACCCCUACGGGAGGCAGCAGUGGGGAAUCUUAGACAAUGGGGGAAACCCUGAUCGAGCCAUGCCGCGUGAGCGAUGAAGGCCUUAGGGUUGUAAAGCUCUUUCAGCUGGGAAGAUAAUGACGGUACCAGCAGAAGAAGCCCCGGCUAACUCCGUG